Molecule: ribosomal RNA, 246 nt
Filed under: uncultured bacterium
Lineage: Bacteria
Description: partial 16S ribosomal RNA
Rfam family: Bacterial small subunit ribosomal RNA
Source: RNAcentral
AUACGUAGGGAGCGAGCGUUGUCCGGAAUUACUGGGUGUAAAGGGAGCGUAGGCGGGGAAUCAAGUUGGGUGUGAAACCUAUCGGCUCAACCGGUAGUUGCAUUCAAAACUGAAUCUCUUGAGUGAAGUAGAGGCAGGCGGAAUUCCUAGUGUAGCGGUGAAAUGCGUAGAUAUUAGGAGGAACACCAGUGGCGAAGGCGGCCUGCUGGGCUUUUACUGACGCUGAGGCUCGAAAGCGUGGGUAGC